GCCCUCGUAGCUCAUCUGGAUAGAGCGGAUGCCUCCUAAGCGUCAGGUAGCAGGUUCGAGUCCUGCCGAGGGCACCA
RNAcentral lists this transfer RNA (77 nucleotides) under Marinobacter segnicrescens. Its description in RNAcentral is "tRNA_Arg_CCT". It matches the Rfam family "tRNA". Rfam says of the family: Transfer RNA (tRNA) molecules are approximately 80 nucleotides in length. Their secondary structure includes four short double-helical elements and three loops (D, anti-codon, and T loops). The record is from RNAcentral. Lineage: Bacteria; Pseudomonadati; Pseudomonadota; Gammaproteobacteria; Pseudomonadales; Marinobacteraceae.